This is a long non-coding RNA of Maniola jurtina (meadow brown), 304 nucleotides long. RefSeq lists it as uncharacterized. The transcript is spliced from 2 exons. The record is from RefSeq and is a predicted model, not a curated record. Lineage: Eukaryota; Metazoa; Arthropoda; Insecta; Lepidoptera; Nymphalidae.
GCGAUCGAAUAGGUUAAAAAUCUCCCACUAGGCACACAGACCUGAGACAACCACACUUUUGCAUUGAUACUUAUUAUUAAUAUGGAUUUAUGUAAUAAAAAUAACAAUAAAAAAUAAAUCAUUUUGAUUUUUUCAUUUAUUACUUUGAAACCCGAGGUCAUGACUUUUAAUCAAAUAGAUUGCAAAGGAUAUUGACCUCAUAAUGAAGACGAGCGACUACAUCGAUCUAUUGUUCUAGAAUUGUUCUAUAAUCUAGAUAAUUCCCAGCGCUCUACACUGCAGACUCGAGGUCUGCGAAAACUGG